This 578-nucleotide ribosomal RNA is filed under the name Exiguobacterium sp. KKBO11. Its description in RNAcentral is "bacterial LSU rRNA". It matches the Rfam family "Bacterial large subunit ribosomal RNA", at positions 2302 to 2878 of the family's 2925-position model. Lineage: Bacteria; Bacillati; Bacillota; Bacilli; Caryophanales. The record is from RNAcentral.
GGAGGCGCCCAAAGGUUCCCUCAGAAUGGUUGGAAAUCAUUCGUAGAGCGCAAAGGCAGAAGGGAGCUUGACUGCGAGACCUACAAGUCGAGCAGGGACGAAAGUCGGGCUUAGUGAUCCGGUGGUUCCGCAUGGAAGGGCCAUCGCUCAACGGAUAAAAGCUACCCUGGGGAUAACAGGCUGAUCUCCCCCAAGAGUCCACAUCGACGGGGAGGUUUGGCACCUCGAUGUCGGCUCAUCGCAUCCUGGGGCUGGAGUAGGUCCCAAGGGUUGGGCUGUUCGCCCAUUAAAGCGGUACGCGAGCUGGGUUCAGAACGUCGUGAGACAGUUCGGUCCCUAUCCGUCGUGGGCGCAGGAAAUUUGAGGAGAGCUGUCCUUAGUACGAGAGGACCGGGAUGGACGCACCGCUGGUGUACCAGUUGUUCCGCCAGGAGCAUCGCUGGGUAGCUACGUGCGGACGGGAUAAAUGCUGAAAGCAUCUAAGCAUGAAGCCCCCUCCAAGAUGAGAUUUCCCUUUGAGUAAUCAAGAAAGACCCCUCAGAGACGAUGAGGUAGAUAGGUCACGGGUGGAAGCAUGG